This 241-nucleotide unclassified non-coding RNA is filed under the name Hevea brasiliensis (rubber tree). Lineage: Eukaryota; Viridiplantae; Streptophyta; Magnoliopsida; Malpighiales; Euphorbiaceae. The record is from RNAcentral.
CCUUGUCCUGGCUACCAUCAUCUUUGCUUCUGUCUUUCACUUUGUGAAAACGAAUUUGGCUUGAUGGAGCUGGUGAUCUAAGAUGCGCGGAAACGGGAGGAGCCCGCGCUUCCCAGUUCAGGUAACGUUUCCUCGCCGGAACGUAAGGACACGGCCGGCCAGGAAACGUCUCCGGGCCGUUUCCGCAAUUCUUAGAAAUCGAACACGGGUUUCCUGGCGCUGGUGGGCUGGUGGGGCGGCG